Molecule: ribosomal RNA, 367 nt
Filed under: Paramecium multimicronucleatum
Lineage: Eukaryota; Ciliophora; Oligohymenophorea; Peniculida; Parameciidae
Also listed under: 1 other name
Description: SSU rRNA
Rfam family: Eukaryotic small subunit ribosomal RNA
Source: RNAcentral
CCAGCUCCAAUAGCGUAUACUUAAGUUGUUGCAGUUAAAAAGCUCGUAGUUGAAAUUCGAAUCAGUUACUUGAGGGCUUAGGCACUUAUUUAGCUGGUUCUCCGUCUACAAUUCCUCUUGGGCUUUAGGGUUGCAGAGGUUUGAGUAGACAAUUUACCUUGAAAAAAUUAGAGUGUUCCAGGCAGGUUUUCGCCGGAAUACAUUAGCAUGGAAUAAUGGAAUAGGACUGAGGUCUUUUGUUGGUUUUAGGAUCUUAGUAAUGAUUAAUAGGGACAGAUGGGGGCAUUAGUAUUUAAUUGUCAGAGGUGAAAUUCUUGGAUUUAUUAAAGACUAACUUAUGCGAAAGCAUUUGCCAAGGAUGUUUUCA